This 155-nucleotide ribosomal RNA is filed under the name Sarcocystis fusiformis. RNAcentral's name for it is "partial 18S ribosomal RNA". Lineage: Eukaryota; Apicomplexa; Conoidasida; Eucoccidiorida; Sarcocystidae. The record is from RNAcentral.
AGGUUAGUGAUCUUUAUCUUAAAGGUCACAACAAUAAAGAACAGUGAUGGAGGGACUCAGUCCUAACCCAUUAAANGNGCGGACGACGGAAGGAAUCUACACCAUCGGCAAAGAGUCCGAGGGAGAGGCCUUAGCUUGGGAUUAAGGGGCAAUGG